Molecule: ribosomal RNA, 970 nt
Filed under: beta proteobacterium 00YJZ
Lineage: Bacteria; Pseudomonadati; Pseudomonadota; Betaproteobacteria
Description: bacterial SSU rRNA
Rfam family: Bacterial small subunit ribosomal RNA
Source: RNAcentral
UCGCGCCUGAGUGGCGAGUGGCGAACGGGUGAGUAAUACAUCGGAACGUGCCCUGUAGUGGGGGAUAACUAGUCGAAAGAUUAGCUAAUACCGCAUACGACCUGAGGGUGAAAGCGGGGGACCGCAAGGCCUCGCGCUACAGGAGCGGCCGAUGUCUGAUUAGCUAGUUGGUGGGGUAAGAGCCUACCAAGGCGACGAUCAGUAGCUGGUCUGAGAGGACGAUCAGCCACACUGGGACUGAGACACGGCCCAGACUCCUACGGGAGGCAGCAGUGGGGAAUUUUGGACAAUGGGGGCAACCCUGAUCCAGCAAUGCCGCGUGUGUGAAGAAGGCCUUCGGGUUGUAAAGCACUUUUGUCCGGAAAGAAAUGGCUCUGGUUAAUACCUGGGGUCGAUGACGGUACCGGAAGAAUAAGCACCGGCUAACUACGUGCCAGCAGCCGCGGUAAUACGUAGGGUGCGAGCGUUAAUCGGAAUUACUGGGCGUAAAGCGUGCGCAGGCGGUUUUGUAAGACAGGCGUGAAAUCCCCGAGCUCAACUUGGGAAUGGCGCUUGUGACUGCAAGGCUAGAGUAUGUCAGAGGGGGGUAGAAUUCCACGUGUAGCAGUGAAAUGCGUAGAGAUGUGGAGGAAUACCGAUGGCGAAGGCAGCCCCCUGGGACGUCACUGACGCUCAUGCACGAAAGCGUGGGGGAGCAAACAGGAUUAGAUACCCUGGGUAGUCCACGCCCUAAACGAUGUCCAACUAGUUGUUGGGGAUUCAUUUCUUUCAGUAACGUAGCUCACGCGUGAAGUUGACCGCCUGCGGGAGUACGGUCGCAAGAUUAAAACUCAAAGGAAUUGACGGGCACCCGCACAAGCGGUGGAUGAUGUGAAUUAAUUCGAUGCAACGCGAAGAAACCUUAUCUAACCCUUGACAUGCCACUAAACGAAAGCAGAGAUGCAUCAAGGUGCCCGAAAGGGAAAGGUGA